Juglans regia (Persian walnut) is the source of this 537-nucleotide long non-coding RNA. RefSeq lists it as uncharacterized. Lineage: Eukaryota; Viridiplantae; Streptophyta; Magnoliopsida; Fagales; Juglandaceae. The transcript has 3 exons. The record is from RefSeq and is a predicted model, not a curated record.
GAGAGGGAGCGGAGGCUGUAGCACGGUUCAGGAUUACAUUGUCUCGCCGAUUGAAUCAAAUUGCUGUAGAGUAACUGCUGCUCUGUCAGAUGGGAAUGGGUGUGCAGCGGAUUGGCUGACGAGAAUAAGUUUGGUGAGAAGGAAUUAACUGCCGAAGUAAAUGAGAGUUGGUUGGCAGUUGAGUCUCCUUUAUGAUCUACAGGAAUUGUGAACAGUGAGCUUGAGGGAGAGUGGCCACUAACUAGUGUCGAUUCCUUCAGAAAAUUUGCACCGCCGUGAUCUAAUCUUCUGCUAGGCUAAUGUUAAGGUCUUCCUAAGAUAAUACUUCUGUUUGUUAUAUAAGAGAAUUCAUGUCUAUGAUACUAUCUGAAAAGUUUGAAAGAAGUGCGAAGUUUGACGAAGGUCAAGUCAGAGAGCUCAGAUGCUUAGAGCUCAGAGAAUUUUGGAGAGUACAGAGGUUUCAGGAGAAAAGAAAGGAGACGAACAUGAAAGGAAAAGAAACUCGCGCGAACCUGAAAGGAGAGAAACCAGUGUGGC